Molecule: long non-coding RNA, 1626 nt
Organism: Equus caballus (horse)
Lineage: Eukaryota; Metazoa; Chordata; Mammalia; Perissodactyla; Equidae
Source: Ensembl
AUACACAUUCUCAAGAUAGAAUUCUUUCUCAAGUAAGAGGACUUAAUACUCCCGUUUAUCACACAUAGUUCAUCCUAAAUUUACAUGGAAAUCAUGGUGAUCAUCUGUGUUAGUUAAUUGGCUUUAUACAAAAGAAAACUUCUCAUAUCUUUAUGACAAAAGGUAUUUUUGGAAUUUUGGAGAGUUGCCAGCUGAAGUUAGGUUCCUACCUUCUUAGAGAAACCAGAAGAUGGGGGUACUGUCUUUCUUGGUUGCAUUUCAAAGAGAUGGUUCCUCGGCCCCUGAAAAAGAUAUUUCUGGAUGCUGGAGAUGGCAAGGGGCUUAUUUAGCUUUUAAAAAGACUUAUAUACAUUUCAAAACAUGGGAAAAGAAACUUACAAGUUUUCUAAAAUAAAUGCUGUAAGAAAGGGAAGUGGGGAAAAAUUUCUUCCCUUAUUUUCUACAGGGAAAAUUAGGCCUCUAUUUUCAAUUUCUAUUUGCCCUUGCGCUACUUAAGCCCUAUGAGAGGAUUCCAGGAUGCUUCCACGGACCAUCGACAACUACUUGGCUUUGAACACUGCAUUCCACUUAGACAUAAAAAUACCGUUUCUUCAUAGCCAUAUGUUAAUUUAUAAAAUGUGAUUAUAGAUGCUAAUUUUGAGGGAAAACAUUCAAAAUAUAUGUUAUUUACCUAUUUUAAAUGUGAUUAUAAUUGAUCACUUUGAAAAAUAAAAUAUUCAGAGAUAUAGAUUACUUAUAUUUUCUAAAAUAAUAGAAUGCAGUCAUCCAGGAAGAUAAAAAAUAGACACCUGGAACCUGAAAAUCUUUCUUGUGUUUCCUUUAGGGAUCUAUAAAGCCAUGUGAAAUGAAAACACAUGCAUAUUCAAAACUAUAAUGAUAAAGUAGUAUAUAUUUGAAAGUUUCUUAGGGAAAUAAAAUUUUAAACCAGUAAUUAUGGUUAUAUGUGUAGGUGUCUGUGGGCUGGGGCCAUGAAAAACAUAUAAACAGCUGUCUCAAACUAUAUAUAUACUUUGCCCCAAAAUGAUGCUGUCAUUCACUUAGUGAUUUGGUAUUGAUUGGAUGGCAGAUGGUUUCACUGUCAAUCUUAUGGAGAAGGAAAACUUCAUUGAAAAUAAUCUAUUUAGAUGUGUGCUGUGUCACACAAAAGCAAUUAUUACUAUUGGAAUACAAAAUCCACAAAGAUAAUCAGAAACAUUAAAUAUCUAACUUUUUUGAACACUUAGCCUAGAAACUUUAGAAUUUAGAAGAAAUAAAAUCAACCACAAAGGGGUAAAAUCGUUGAUUUAUAGAAAUGUAAAACUUCAGAACGUCAAAUCGUGUGAAAUGAGAAAAUAGAGGCAAGGAAUACAACAGAUGUUGGAUUAAACUUUCAAAGGCAAUAUUAUGGUUGAAUUGAAGGAACAUGGCUGUUUCCUUCCAUCUUGACUUUUUCUUGUUUCUUUCUCUGUUCUUCUUAUUGUCAUCUCUGUUGCUACAUUAAUAUCUGCAACCCAGAGCCCUGUGAAGGCACCUUACUGAAAGCACAAGCCACCAGAUUUUGUGAGAUGUAGUGUUCACUUGAUGAAGCACCAGUGUUGAGAAAACUUGUCACUGCAGCAAUGCUACUGCUGUCUUCUCCAAGGGCAC